Molecule: ribosomal RNA, 492 nt
Filed under: uncultured bacterium
Lineage: Bacteria
Description: partial 16S ribosomal RNA
Rfam family: Bacterial small subunit ribosomal RNA
Source: RNAcentral
AGUGAACGCUGGCGGUAGGCCUAACACAUGCAAGUCGAACGGCAGCACAGUAAGAGCUUGCUCUUACGGGUGGCGAGUGGCGGACGGGUGAGGAAUACAUCGGAAUCUACUUUUUCGUGGGGGUUAACGUAGGGAAACUUACGCUAAUACCGCAUACGACCUACGGGUGAAAGCAGGGGAUCUUCGGACCUUGCGCGAUUGAAUGAGCCGAUGUCGGAUUAGCUAGUUGGCGGGGUAAAGGCCCACCAAGGCGACGAUCCGUAGCUGGUCUGAGAGGAUGAUCAGCCACACUGGAACUGAGGCACGGUCCAGACUCCUACGGGAGGCAGCAGUGGGGAAUAUUGGACAAUGGGCGCAAGCCUGAUCCAGCCAUACCGCGUGGGUGAAGAAGGCCUUCGGGUUGUAAAGCCCUUUUGUUGGGAAAGAAAAGCAGCAGGUUAAUACCCCGCUGUUCUGACGGUACCCAAAGAAUAAGCACCGGCUAACUUCGUG